RNAcentral lists this ribosomal RNA (253 nucleotides) under uncultured bacterium. Its description in RNAcentral is "partial 16S ribosomal RNA". It matches the Rfam family "Bacterial small subunit ribosomal RNA", at positions 524 to 776 of the family's 1533-position model. The record is from RNAcentral.
UACGAAGGGGGCUAGCGUUGCUCGGAAUCACUGGGCGUAAAGCGCACGUAGGCGGCUUUUUAAGUCAGGGGUGAAAUCCUGGAGCUCAACUCCAGAACUGCCUUUGAUACUGAGAAGCUUGAGUCCGGGAGAGGUGAGUGGAACUGCGAGUGUAGAGGUGAAAUUCGUAGAUAUUCGCAAGAACACCAGUGGCGAAGGCGACUCACUGGACGAUUGUUGACGCUGAGGUGCGAAAGCGUGGGGAGCAAACAGG